Molecule: ribosomal RNA, 504 nt
Filed under: uncultured bacterium
Lineage: Bacteria
Description: partial 16S ribosomal RNA
Rfam family: Bacterial small subunit ribosomal RNA
Source: RNAcentral
GACGAACGCUGGCGGCGUGCCUAAUACAUGCAAGUAGAACGCACAGUUUAUACCGUAGCUUGCUACACCAUAAACUGUGAGUUGCGAACGGGUGAGUAACGCGUAGGUAACCUGCCUGGUAGCGGGGGAUAACUAUUGGAAACGAUAGCUAAUACCGCAUAAUAUUGAUUAUUGCAUGAUAAUUGAUUGAAAGAUGCUAUUGCAUCACUACCAGAUGGACCUGCGUUGUAUUAGCUAGUAGGUGAGGUAACGGCUCACCUAGGCGACGAUACAUAGCCGACCUGAGAGGGUGAUCGGCCACACUGGGACUGAGACACGGCCCAGACUCCUACGGGAGGCAGCAGUAGGGAAUCUUCGGCAAAGGACGAAAGUCUGACCGAGCAACGCCGCGUGAGUGAAGAAGGUUUUCGGAUCGUAAAGCUCUGUUGUAAGAGAAGAACGGGUGUGAGAGUGGAAAGUUCGCACUGCGACGGUAUCUUACCAGAAAGGGACGGCUAACUACGU